GGCGUGGAUAAGACAUGCAAGUCGAACGAGAUCCUUAGCAAAGCUUGCUUUGCUAAGUCUAGUGGCGAACGGGUGAGUAACACGUGAGCAACCUGCCCAGAAGCAGGGGAUAAGCCACCGAAAGGUGGUCUAAUACCGUAUGUGAUACCAAGAGGCAUCUCUUGGAUAUUAAAGGGGGGGACCUUCGGGCCUCUCACUUCUGGAUGGGCUCGCGGCCUAUCAGCUUGUUGGUGAGGUAACGGCUCACCAAGGCAACGACGGGUAGCUGGUCUGAGAGGACGACCAGUCACACUGGAACUGAGACACGGUCCAGACACCUACGGGUGGCAGCAGUCGAGAAUCAUUCACAAUGGGCGAAAGCCUGAUGGUGCGACGCCGCGUGGAGGAUGACAGCCCUAGGGUUGUAAACUCCUGUCAUGAGAGAGUAAAGACUUAACGUUAACACCGUUGGGUCCUGAUAGUAUCUCAAGAGGAAGGGACGGCUAACUUCGUGCCAGCAGCCGCGGUAAUACGAAGGUCCCAAGCGUUGUUCGGAAUUACUGGGCGUAAAGCGUGCGUAGGUGGCAUGGUAAGUCAGAUGUGAAAUCCCGGGGCUCAACCCCGGAACUGCAUCCGAUACUGCCAAGCUAGAGUAGUGGAGGGGAGUCUGGAAUUCACGGUGUAGCAGUGAAAUGCGUAGAUAUCGUGAGGAACACUAGUGGCGAAGGCGAGACUCUGGACACUAACUGACACUGAGGCACGAAGGCUAGGGUAGCGAAAGGGAUUAGAUACCCCUGUAGUCCUAGCAGUAAACGGUGCGCGUUUGGUGUGGGCGGGUUCGACCCCGUCCGUGCCGAAGCUAACGCGUUAAACGCGCCGCCUGGGGAGUAC
RNAcentral lists this ribosomal RNA (870 nucleotides) under uncultured Verrucomicrobiaceae bacterium. RNAcentral describes it as "bacterial SSU rRNA". It matches the Rfam family "Bacterial small subunit ribosomal RNA", at positions 41 to 883 of the family's 1533-position model. Lineage: Bacteria; Pseudomonadati; Verrucomicrobiota; Verrucomicrobiia; Verrucomicrobiales; Verrucomicrobiaceae. The record is from RNAcentral.